This is a small nucleolar RNA of Meriones unguiculatus (Mongolian gerbil), 144 nucleotides long. RefSeq annotates it as small nucleolar RNA SNORA48. The transcript has a single exon. Lineage: Eukaryota; Metazoa; Chordata; Mammalia; Rodentia; Muridae. The record is from RefSeq and is a predicted model, not a curated record.
AACCGCUGGCAAUGAGCAAAGAGACACCUUGUUGUUGGUGGUGGUCUUAUAUCAGUCAGAAGCAGAGCAGAUGGCAGUCCUUUGUUCAUCCUAGCUUGAUGCCUGGCCUGGUAGCCAAAGCUGUCUUAUGCCUAGGACUCAUAA